CACUCCUACGGGAGGCAGCAGUGGGGAAUAUUGCACAAUGGGCGCAAGCCUGAUGCAGCCAUGCCGCGUGUAUGAAGAAGGCCUUCGGGUUGUAAAGUACUUUCAGCAGUGAGGAAGGUGGAUAUGUUAAUAGCAUAUUCAUUUGACGUUAGCUGCAGAAGAAGCACCGGCUAACUCCGUGCCAGCAGCCGCGGUAAUACGGAGGGUGCGAGCGUUAAUCGGAAUUACUGGGCGUAAAGCGCAUGCAGGUGGUUUGUUAAGUCAGAUGUGAAAGCCCGGGGCUCAACCUCGGAAUUGCAUUUGAAACUGGCAAACUAGAGUACUGUAGAGGGGGUAGAAUUUCAGGUGUAGCGGUGAAAUGCGUAGAGAUCUGAAGGAAUACCGGUGGCGAAGGCGGCCCCCUGGACAGAUACUGACACUCAGAUGCGAAAGCGUGGGGAGCAAACAGGAUUAGAUACCCUGGUAG
This 466-nucleotide ribosomal RNA is filed under the name uncultured bacterium. Its description in RNAcentral is "bacterial SSU rRNA". It matches the Rfam family "Bacterial small subunit ribosomal RNA", at positions 334 to 793 of the family's 1533-position model. The record is from RNAcentral.